GCAAUAUUGGUGGUGUCACUCACUAGGAUUUGCAGCAAUUCAGCUGUCAUAGCCCUCAGAUCAGAGAGUCAUAAAAGAUCAAGGGAUGAGUGUCAGGAGUCUGUGAUGAGAGUAGAGAAAGGGGCAUAAUACUGCUUUAAAGACCUUCCUAAGCUGUGUGUAGUUAGGCUAAACUAUUUUGGUUAGAAGAAUGAUGGUACAAGAUGAAGUAAGACUGGAAAGUAUUUUAAGGUUAAAAUAUUGUUCCUGAUCCUAAACCAAUAAAUAACUACUAUCUUGUGAUUCUGUGGCAGGAACCACUCCUCCUGAUUAUGACCAAAGAUUCUACAGAACAUCAACGAGUGAGAUUUCCUGUAGACGUGACAUGCAAGAAAGCCCGUGAAGGUCGUGGUGCAUCACCUAACACAGCAGUUCACAAGCAGAGACCAGAAUCCUAAUGUAUUCAAGGUGAGCAGAAGAAUCCUAGUGUAUUCAAGGUGAGCAAAAGCUUGUCUAAAAGAACAAGAUAAUUAU
Molecule: long non-coding RNA, 513 nt
Organism: Pan paniscus (pygmy chimpanzee)
Lineage: Eukaryota; Metazoa; Chordata; Mammalia; Primates; Hominidae
Source: Ensembl